This 2782-nucleotide ribosomal RNA is filed under the name Acinetobacter baumannii. RNAcentral describes it as "partial 23S ribosomal RNA". It matches the Rfam family "Bacterial large subunit ribosomal RNA". The record is from RNAcentral. Lineage: Bacteria; Pseudomonadati; Pseudomonadota; Gammaproteobacteria; Moraxellales; Moraxellaceae.
AGUCAAGUAAUUAAGUGCAUGUGGUGGAUGCCUUGGCAGUCAGAGGCGAUGAAAGACGUGAUAGCCUGCGAAAAGCUCCGGGGAGGCGGCAAAUAUCCUUUGAUCCGGAGAUGUCUGAAUGGGGGAACCCACCUACUUUAAGGUAGGUAUUGCAACAUGAAUACAUAGUGUUGCAAGGCGAACGAGGGGAAGUGAAACAUCUCAGUACCCUUAGGAAAAGAAAUCAAUUGAGAUUCCCUCAGUAGCGGCGAGCGAACGGGGAUCAGCCCAUUAAGUUAUGUGUGUUUUAGUGGAACGCUCUGGGAAGUGCGAACGUAGAGGGUGAUAUUCCCGUACACGAAAGGGCACACAUAAUGAUGACGAGUAGGGCGAGGCACGUGAAACCUUGUCUGAAUAUGGGGGGACCAUCCUCCAAGGCUAAAUACUCCUGACUGACCGAUAGUGAACCAGUACCGUGAGGGAAAGGCGAAAAGAACCCCUGUGAGGGGAGUGAAAUAGAUCCUGAAACCGCAUGCAUACAAGCAGUGGGAGCACCUUCGUGGUGUGACUGCGUACCUUUUGUAUAAUGGGUCAGCGACUUAUAUUCAGUAGCGAGGUUAACCGUAUAGGGGAGCCGUAGAGAAAUCGAGUCUUAAUAGGGCGUUUAGUUGCUGGGUAUAGACCCGAAACCAGGCGAUCUAUCCAUGAGCAGGUUGAAGGUUGGGUAACACUAACUGGAGGACCGAACCCACUGUCGUUGAAAAGCCAGGGGAUGACUUGUGGAUAGGGGUGAAAGGCUAAUCAAGCCUGGUGAUAGCUGGUUCUCCCCGAAAGCUAUUUAGGUAGCGCCUCGGACGAAUACCAUAGGGGGUAGAGCACUGUUUCGGCUAGGGGGUCAUCCCGACUUACCAAACCGAUGCAAACUCCGAAUACCUAUGAGUACUAUCCGGGAGACAGACUGCGGGUGCUAACGUCCGUAGUCAAGAGGAAAACAAUCCAGACCGCCAGCUAAGGCCCCAAAAUCAUAGUUAAGUGGGAAACGAUGUGGGAAGGCAUAGACAGCUAGGAGGUUGGCUUAGAAGCAGCCACCCUUUAAAGAAAGCGUAAUAGCUCACUAGUCGAGUCGGCCUGCGCGGAAGAUGUAACGGGGCUAAAACUAUGUGCCGAAGCUGCGGAUGUAUACUUUGUAUACGUGGUAGGGGAGCGUUCUGUAAGCCGAUGAAGGUGUGUUGAGAAGCAUGCUGGAGGUAUCAGAAGUGCGAAUGCUGACGUGAGUAACGACAAAACGGGUGAAAAACCCGUUCGCCGAAAGACCAAGGGUUCCAGUCCAACGUUAAUCGGGGCUGGGUGAGUCGACCCCUAAGGCGAGGCCGAAAGGCGUAGUCGAUGGGAAAAUGGUUAAUAUUCCAUUACUUCUGUGUAAUGCGAUGAGAGGACGGAGAAGGCUAAAUCAGCCUGGCGUUGGUUGUCCAGGUGAAAGGAUGUAGGCAUGUAUCUUAGGCAAAUCCGGGGUACUCUAUGCUGAGAUCUGAUAGCAAGCUGUACUUGUACAGCGAAGUGGUUGAUGCCAUGCUUCCAGGAAAAGUCUCUAAGCUUCAGUUACACAGGAAUCGUACCCGAAACCGACACAGGUGGUCAGGUCGAGUAGACCAAGGCGCUUGAGAGAACUCUGCUGAAGGAACUAGGCAAAAUGGUACCGUAACUUCGGGAGAAGGUACGCUGUUGUUGGUGAUGGAACUCGCUUCCUGAGCUGACGACAGCCGCAGAAACCAGGCCGCUGCAACUGUUUAUUAAAAACAUAGCACUCUGCAAACACGAAAGUGGACGUAUAGGGUGUGAUGCCUGCCCGGUGCUGGAAGGUUAAUUGAUGGGGUUAGCGUAAGCGAAGCUCUUGAUCGAAGCCCCAGUAAACGGCGGCCGUAACUAUAACGGUCCUAAGGUAGCGAAAUUCCUUGUCGGGUAAGUUCCGACCUGCACGAAUGGCAUAAUGAUGGCGGCGCUGUCUCCAGCAGAGGCUCAGUGAAAUCGAAAUCGCUGUGAAGAUGCAGUGUACCCGCGGCUAGACGGAAAGACCCCGUGAACCUUUACUGCAGCUUGACACUGAACUUUGACCUUACUUGUGUAGGAUAGGUGGGAGGCUUUGAAGCUGGAACGCUAGUUCCAGUGGAGCCGUCCUUGAAAUACCACCCUGGUAAUGUUGAGGUUCUAACUCUGUCCCGUGAUCCGGGACGAGGACCGUGUCUGGUGGGUAGUUUGACUGGGGCGGUCUCCUCCUAAAGAGUAACGGAGGAGUACGAAGGUGCGCUCAGCGUGGUCGGAAAUCACGCGUAGAGUAUAAAGGCAAAAGCGCGCUUAACUGCGAGACCCACAAGUCGAGCAGGUACGAAAGUAGGUCUUAGUGAUCCGGUGGUUCUGUAUGGAAGGGCCAUCGCUCAACGGAUAAAAGGUACUCUGGGGAUAACAGGCUGAUACCGCCCAAGAGUUCAUAUCGACGGCGGUGUUUGGCACCUCGAUGUCGGCUCAUCUCAUCCUGGGGCUGAAGCAGGUCCCAAGGGUAUGGCUGUUCGCCAUUUAAAGAGGUACGCGAGCUGGGUUUAGAACGUCGUGAGACAGUUCGGUCCCUAUCUACCGUGGGCGCUGGAAAUUUGAGAGGAUCUGCUCCUAGUACGAGAGGACCAGAGUGGACGAACCUCUGGUGUACCGGUUGUGACGCCAGUCGCAUCGCCGGGUAGCUAUGUUCGGAAGGGAUAACCGCUGAAAGCAUCUAAGCGGGAAGCCUACCUCAAGAUAAGAUUUCCCUAGG